AGAUAGCCAGAUCACCUGGCUCCCUGCUUUCAGCCCCCUCUUUUUCAGUUGAAUGGGUAGCUCUGUCUCCCAGGCAUUCCUGGCAGCAGUUAAACAGCUACCUGAAUUUGUGUGAGUUUUUGUGUGGAAACCUGCAGUGCCGGCUGAAACAGCUGUGCUGGAAACUUGUGGCACUUUUUGGCCCAGGAAUAUCCUGGUCUUUGUGUGGUAAGAAUUGCAGGAGAAGCUCAGUAUCUGAACCGGAGUGCUGGAGUGGAUGGAAAAGCCCCCGAUGGCCUCCAUUGUGUAGGGAGGGGGGUCCUCCAGGGAUUGCAUUUCCCGGGUGAGGCAGCACCCCUACCCUGCCUCGGCUUGCCCUUCUUGGGAUACAACGACUGUGCAACCAGUUCCAUUGAGAUGCACCUGGUACCUUGUUUGGAAAUGCAGUGAUCACUCACCCUCUCUAUGUCUCUCGCUGGGAACUGCACUCCAGAGCUAUUCAUAUUCGGCCAUGUUGGGUCUCCCAAUAAUCUCAUUUUAAAUCGAUUACCUCUGUAAAGACUAAGUGUUAUUCUGAGGUACAAGGGGUUAGGACUCCAAUUUUUGGAGGGUACCACAAUUCAACCCAUAACAAUUCCUUUUCCAUUUUAAAAGUUAUCCGUAUACAAUAGUUUUCUACAUUUUACCGCAUAAUAAAUGUUACUUUUUCAUAGUUGAUUUAUAUUUACUCUCAUAUUUACAUAUUUUUUUGCAUAUGAUAUUUUCUUGAAUAUUAAAUCUUCUGUCUUGGAUCAUUCUACUUUUGCCCCAAGUACUAUAUCCUUUUGAAAUUCCUUUAGUGAAGUUGGUGGGAGAUUAACUCCCCCAAUUUGUGUUUGCCUGAAAAUCUGUAUUUUAUUUGCAUUCUUGAGAGAUAGUUUAACUAUGUUUACAGUUUUACAUUAACUUUUAUUUUCUCCCAGCACACUAAAGACGUUUUCUUGGUUUUCAUUUUUGCUGCUGUGACAUCACUUUAGGCUGUAUUCCUUUGAAAGUACAUUGUUUUUAGCCAGACACUUUAAAUCUUGUCACUGUUGGUUUCCCUUUAAUUUACAAUGUGACUGAGUUAAGACUGGUUUUUAUUCUGUUUAGAUUUUUUGUUUCCUAACUCUUAUUUUUGUCUUUACUAAGUUGUGGAAAAUUAUCAUCUGAUAUUUUACAAAUAUUUUCUUUUCUUCUACUUUUUUAUUCUGGAACUCCAAUUACAAAUAUGGCAGACCUUUUCAUUCUGUCUUCCAUAUCUCUUAAACUGUCCUUUAUAUUUUCUUAAUCUCUCCAUGCUAAAUUCUGCAUAAUUCUUCAGAUUUAGUUCAUUAAUUUCUCUUUGGUUGUGUUUGGUUUGAUUAGUAACCCACCACUGAGUUUUAAAUGAAUAUAUUUUUAGUUUUAUAAACUCUAUGUAGUUCUUUUCCAACCCUAUUAAUUUAAAAAUAUCUUCUUAGUCUUUUGUCAUGUUUAAAAUAUAUAUUUAAUUUCCAGGAACAUACUAAGCACAUUUAUUUUAUAUUCAUUAGAUAAUAUCAACAUUUCAGGUUUGAUGUGGUUCCUCUAAUUCAUGGCUUACUGUUUUUGUUGAUUCUGCUCACUGUGGACUGUUUCCUUGUAUGUGUGAGCUUCUAUUUUUCUGAAUUUAAUUUGAAGAAAACAUAAGAAUGUCUUUCUCCCCAUGGGUAUGGGUUUUUCUGGUAGGUGCUCUACCAAUCUGGUGCACUACCCACCUGGAAGCACUUAAACUUAUCAGCAUAUCCUUGCUUGAACUCUGUAGGUGUUUUAAGUUCAAAUCCUGAACUCAGGUUCCAAUAAGCUUGUACUCUGGAUUCUCAAGGGAUAUUUUCCCUCACCUGAAGCCAAGGACUAAGAUUUUAAAAGUUUGCUUUUGGUUUUCUUCAUCAAAAGAUGUAUUUUUUUUCUAGUUUGACCUUUCACCACGAGUCUAGCCCUGUAAGCAUAUUAGUGUUAUACAUGAAUUUUAGUUAUUUGUCCAUCUUACUAGAUAAAAGGGCUUAUCUCCUAUUCCUUUAUGAGGCUGUCAAAAGCCUAACCUCUGUUUCUGGUAUUAUUAGAUAUCUCCAGGGAAGGCAGGGCUUUAGUGCUAGCGUAUCAUUCAGUUUCAUUUGCCUUUUGUUUCAAAGAUAUUUCUCUCAUAAUUUCUAGAUGCUUUUGGUAGGAGAAUCUUUACAACGUCUAGUCCAACAGAAGUGGAAAUUUCUCUACAUCUCUUUAAAUAAAAAAAUUACCACCUCCAUUCUAACAAGGCUAUUUCAAUCAGUGUUAACAUGUUCAAAGAUGAAAUCUAAAUUACAUAUUUAAAAGCAUAAAAAUAACCUUUAACAUGAAAUGUGGAUUAAUGUGGAGGUAAUAUCAAGAAAAUAAAAAGAAGGAAUGCCGAGACUAUUAAAACUAGUACCAACAUUUUACUUAAUAAGCUGUCUAUCCUCCUAGCCAUUAUUGUUCCAGUGGUAGAUGAAUUACAGUUAUGAUGCAAAUUUUGAAACUUAUUUGGAAAUGCAUUAGUCAAACGUGAUAUUGAUCAAAAAGAAUUCUUUCAGUGAAAUUUUUUUAAAAUAACAUUUUAAUUACAUGAUCUAACUUUCAUUUCUUCAUCUCUUAACUUCAAUACAUUUAGUACUCUGAAAGUUAAAGCAUCUAGUAAAAACUCUACCGUUUAAGCACAAAUAUAUAUUUACACAAAGAGCCUUUUGGAAUUAAGCUUUUGGAAGGUAAUUUAGACAAAACUUAAUCAGUUAACUGAUCUUCAGUAAAAUCAGUAAAACCAAAUUCAUUCUAUUAGAUUUCUACAAUUUCUCUUAUAACCUACCCUAACACAGAAGUAGAGUAUUUAAUCUCAAAAUCUAUCUUCUUAGGCUAAUUUAAUUAAUUUUCAUGUUCAAUGGAUGAUCACAAUGUGUGGUAUUUUUCUUUAGUAUAAAAAUGCUGUUCUAGAUUUCUCAUGUUUUGCUAAUUCCAUAUAGUUCAAAUUAGGCUAGUAAUAAUCACCAAGGGGUAUGCGAUCUCUAAUAACUGUGAAAUCUUCUUAAGCUUUUUCCUAUUGGCAUUAGCAUAGAGUUUACCUUGGCAAUGGAAGAGAAGCCAAAGGACAUAAAGCACCCGGUAGCAUUUUUAAUAUCCCUGGCACAGAUUUCUGGCAGUAGCAGCAUCCAAAAAAGUGCAUUAGCUCUGGUUUUAUACAGUCUCUUACAAGAAGGGGGAAAAGAGGUAAAUGUGCAGUUGGUAAUUUAAGAACUGCUGAGCUAUGGAUCAAACUUUGCUUCACUGAAUAAAUAAUAAAACUCCAUCAAAUUCAGCUUAAUAUUGCAUGGUCAUUAGUGACCUUCAUCAUCAGAGUUGGUUUGACUGGAUUGGUGCAUACAGAUGAAAAAUAAUCUUUUUAAAAUGUAAAUCAUAUCAUGCAGUGGCCCUGCUUAAAACCCUUGAAGCAAUUAUAUUGCUCUCAGAAUAAAAUUCAAAUUUCUUAUCAAGGCCCAUAAGACCUUACCAGAUUUGUCCCCUAUCCUUCUCUUUAACAUCAUUAUACAACACUCCCUCUCUCACUGGAUUCAGGCCACACUGACCUCCUUUCUACUGCUGUAAUAUGCCAAGUUCUUUCUCCAGCCAAGGAAAUUCAACAAAGAAAAGAUCCUCUCUAAGUUGAGCUAGAACAACUGGAUAAUUUUAUUUAAAACUUAACUUUGAUCCAUGUAUCACAUUUAUAAAAAUUAACUUGAAAUUUAUAGGCAUACACAUAAAAACUAAAACUAUAAAACUUCGGAAAAAACAUGAAAGAAAAUCUUUUUGAUCUGGAUCAGGCAAAGAUUUCUAGAAGAUACAAUAAGUAAGAUUUCUAAGAGAAAAGAAACUGAUAAAAUACAUUUCAUCAAAAUUGAAAACUUUUAAAUUUUUAGACAUGAGGGAAACAAAAAGGCAAGUCAUAAAUUAGAAAAUAUUUGUGAAAUAAAUAUUUGACAAAGGGCAUGUGUCCAAAAUAUGACAUGAACUCUUAGAACUCAAGAAGAAAACAAUCUAUUAAUGAGAAGACAAAAAAAAUAUUUGAAUGGAAACUUCAUGAAAGAAGAUAAACAAAUGGAGAAGAAGCACAUAAAAAGACUCCCAACAUCACAAGUCAUCAAGGAAAUGAAAUAAAAAUCAAAAUAUGAUAACACUACAUACCCACUAGCAUGGCUAAAAAUUAAAAUGCUGACAAUGCCAAACGUUCAUUAUAAUGUGAUGCAAUGAUGACACUCAUACAUUGCUGAUAGGAAUGCGAAAUGGCACAGUCACUUUGGACGUCAUUAUGGCAGUGUCAUAUAAACAUAUACAUCAAUCCUACUUUUAGGCAUUUAUCCAAGAGAAAUUAAUGUCUGUGUCUACAUGAAAACUUGUCCAUGAAGCAUUAUCCACUAUUGUCACAAUCUGAAAACAAGGCAAAUGUUCACCAACAUGUAAACAGGUAAAUUAUGAUAUAUCUAGAUGAUGAAAUAUUACCCAGUAAUAAAAAGGAACUCAAUACACACAACAACCUGGGUGGAUCUCAAAAGUAUUAUGUUAAGUGAAACAAACAAAAAACUACAUACCAUUUGGUUUAAUUACAUGAAAUUCUAGAAAAGGUAAAAGCAUAGUGAGACAAAGUAGAUGAGUGGUUGCCUGGGUCUAGAAGUUAGGGCAGAAGAUCAAUUGCAUAGAGGCACAGACAACUUUUUAGGGUGAUGGAACUGUUUUAUAUCUUGAAUCCAAUUACCAAAAUUCAUCAAACUGUAUACAAUUGCCAACAUUCAUCAAAUGUACACUUUAACUAGGCGACUUUUAUGUUAUGAUAAAGUCAAAAACUUAGUAGUAACCACAAUUGUUUAAAAUCAGACUAACAAGAUUUGACGGGAGAACAAGAAUAUUUUAUCACUAGCAUUGUAUAAAAUUACCAUUGUGUGGUGAUGACAAAAAAACGACUUUGACUUUUAUUCAUCCUUAAAGGAGAAUGGGAACGAGGUGUAGAAAUAAAAACAAGAUUUAGUCUGCAUGAUGACUGGGCCCCACGACUCCACACACACUGCUUCCAAAAUACUUGCAGUCUCCAUGUUCCCCCAGGCAUUUGAAGGGUUAUUUUCUAGCAAAAUAACCCCAGAGAAAAAAGUUCUUCAAAUAUGAAUAGUGGAAGUCACCCAGUGAGUAGGUGAUUCACAUCUAAUCCCCUUAGAAAAAAAUUCCUGUAAAGGGAAAUACCACCCAUGCAUACAGCUUCAUAGUGCCUCACGCACAACCACUCACAGCCUGGAAUCAACAACAUGAUGUAAUGAGAAUAAGAGAAACAUACAAAAAACACAGAGAUCAUGUAUGGAACAGGAGGAAACUUCAACACUUAUGAUUCAUAUCUAAUAAAAGACAAGAAAGAUAUUACAUUCAGUCAAUGCAUAAUAUUCAAAGCAUAAAUAUAUAAGAAAAAGUGAGACAGCCACUUGGCAGAAAUAAUUUCGUUAAUUCAUUCCACAAAAUAUUUUGGGGACUCACUACUGUUUUAUACUGUGCUGGGCUUUAUAUUGUUGAAUGAGAUGGAAUUUAAGUAAUUCCAAAUAGUUAAUUAGUUAAUUUGAUAAAUUAAGUAAUGGAAAAAUAUUAAAGUAUGCUUCACAAAACCAUGUUUUGUGUUCUUACUAAUAAUUUGCUUUUAAAAAUCAUUUAUUCAGCUUGGACUUCAGUUUAUUCAUGCCUGAACUGGGCAUAAAAAUAUUUGAUCUUGGGACAUGGAAUGAGCAGUAACUGGAAGGGGGACACAAGGGAUCUUCUGGAAUUCUGAAAAGUGGACAAUCUGACGUUGGUUGCUUUUUUUCUGAGCCCCUGGGAAUUUGGACAAUGAAUAACUUCAAUUUCAAAAUCAUCUA
Molecule: long non-coding RNA, 5888 nt
Organism: Cebus imitator (Panamanian white-faced capuchin)
Lineage: Eukaryota; Metazoa; Chordata; Mammalia; Primates; Cebidae
Exons: 2
Source: RefSeq, a predicted model, not a curated record